RNAcentral lists this long non-coding RNA (773 nucleotides) under Rattus norvegicus (Norway rat). Its description in RNAcentral is "long non-coding RNA NONRATT016962". Lineage: Eukaryota; Metazoa; Chordata; Mammalia; Rodentia; Muridae. The record is from RNAcentral.
AUAGAAAGCCCGCAGAGACAUGCUCUGUUUAGACACACUAAUCGUUUCCUCCUUGUCCUCGUGGAGGUGGUAAGCACUCCCCCUCCCCCACUCCUUUUAGGAUUUUGGUUUCGGUCUCCUCCUAAAUGUGUAGUCUAGGUGUUGAGGUACGGGCAUCCUUUUUGAGGACCUCACUUGAUCCACAUUCCCAGGUCGCCUAGGGACAGUUUUUUAGUAGACACAACACAUUCAUUUAGUAAUUCUCCACUUUAAACAAGGCUGUAAAAUAACACGUAAGAAAGGAAGGUGAAAGUGGUGAUACAGGCCUGUGAUCCCGGCCCUAGGGAGGCGGAAACAGAAGAUUCACCAUCAUCCUUGGCUACAAAGUGAGUUGAGGCCAAAUUGGCCUCCAUAAAGCCCAUCUCAAUAAGUAAACAGACAGAGACACACAGGGUGUUUAGAGAUUACACAGCCUACAGUAGAGAACAGGGCAGUACUGCUGUCCUCAUUUUGGGACCAACAACAAAACACAUUCUUAAAAGGCCCAAACUCCAGGUCUAUACGAAUGAUUCUGGGUGGAUCAAGGCGCUGUGGGUGAGGGAAGCGAAGGUAACGUGCUUGUCUUACCGUUUCAUGUUAACAGAGCCGUAUAAGAAGGAUGUGGAAUGACACCGUGAGGAAGCAGUCUGAAUCGUCUUUUAUCUCAGGUGACAUCAAUAGCACUUCUACCCUUAAUCAAGGACAUUCACUGAACAAUACCCGGGACACCAGCGCCAUGGAUACUCUACCGCUAA